UUGGUUAAGUUAGAAAGGGCGCACGGUGGAUGCCUUGGCACUAGGAGCCGAAGAAGGACGGGACUAACACCGAUAUGCUUUGGGGAGCUGUACGUAAGCGUUGAUCCAGAGAUUUCCGAAUGGGGGAACCCACUAUCUUUAGUCGGAUAGUAUCCUUACGUGAAUACAUAGCGUGAGGAAGGCAGACCCAGGGAACUGAAACAUCUAAGUACCUGGAGGAAGAGAAAGAAAAAUCGAUUUCCUGAGUAGCGGCGAGCGAAACGGAAAGAGCCCAAACCAAGAAGCUUGCUUCUUGGGGUUGUAGGACACUCUAUACGGAGUUACAAAAGAAAGUUAUAAAUGAAGCGGUCUGGAAAGGCCCGCCAAAGACGGUAACAGCCCGGUAGUUGAAAUGGCUUUCCCUCCAGAGUGGAUCCUGAGUACGGCGGAACACGUGAAAUUCCGUCGGAAUCCGGGAGGACCAUCUCCCAAGGCUAAAUACUCCCUAGUGACCGAUAGUGAACCAGUACCGUGAGGGAAAGGUGAAAAGCACCCCGGAAGGGGAGUGAAACAGUUCCUGAAACCGUGUGCCUACAAGUAGUUAGAGCCCGUUAAUGGGUGAUAGCGUGCCUUUUGUAGAAUGAACCGGCGAGUUACGAUUUGUUGCAAGGUUAAGCGGAAAAAGCGGAGCCGUAGCGAAAGCGAGUCUGAAUAGGGCGCAUAAGUAACAGGUCGUAGACCCGAAACCAGGUGAUCUACCCAUGUCCAGGAUGAAGGUAAGGUAAUACUUACUGGAGGUCCGAACCCACGCACGUUGAAAAGUGCGGGGAUGAGGUGUGGGUAGCGGAGAAAUUCCAAUCGAACUUGGAGAUAGCUGGUUCUCUCCGAAAUAGCUUUAGGGCUAGCCUCGAGGUAAAGAGUCAUGGAGGUAGAGCACUGUUUGGACUAGGGGCCCUUCUCGGGUUACCGAAUUCAGAUAAACUCCGAAUGCCAUGUACUUAUACUCGGGAGUCAGACUGCGAGUGAUAAGAUCCGUAGUCGAAAGGGAAACAGCCCAGACCACCAGUUAAGGUCCCCAAAUAUAUGUUAAGUGGAAAAGGAUGUGGGGUUGCUUAGACAACCAGGAUGUUGGCUUAGAAGCAGCCACCAUUGAAAGAGUGCGUAAUAGCUCACUGGUCGAGUGACCCCGCGCCGAAAAUGUACCGGGGCUAAACAUAUUACCGAAACUGUGGAUGAACCUCUUUAGAGGUUCGUGGUAGGAGAGCGUUCUAAGGGCGGUGAAGUCAGACCGGAAGGACUGGUGGAGCGCUUAGAAGUGAGAAUGCCGGUAUGAGUAGCGAAAGAAGGGUGAGAAUCCCUUCCACCGAAUAUCUAAGGUUUCCUGAGGAAGGCUCGUCCGCUCAGGGUUAGUCGGGACCUAAGCCGAGGCCGAUAGGCGUAGGCGAUGGACAACAGGUAGAGAUUCCUGUACCAGUGCUAAUUGUUUAACCGAUGGGGUGACACAGAAGGAUAGGGAAUCGCACGAAUGGAAAUGUGCGUCCAAGCAGUGAGUGUGAGAAGUAGGCAAAUCCGCUUCUCGCGAAGCAUGAGCUGUGAUGGGGAAGGAAAUUAAGUACGGAAGUUCCUGAUUUCACGCUGUCAAGAAAAGCCUCUAGGAAGAGUAGUACUGCCCGUACCGCAAACCGACACAGGUAGAUGAGGAGAGAAUCCUAAGGUGAGCGAGAGAACUCUCGUUAAGGAACUCGGCAAAAUGACCCCGUAACUUCGGGAGAAGGGGUGCUCUAUUAGGGUGCAAGCCCGAGAGAGCCGCAGUGAAUAGGCCCAGGCGACUGUUUAGCAAAAACACAGGUCUCUGCAAAACCGUAAGGUGACGUAUAGGGGCUGACGCCUGCCCGGUGCUGGAAGGUUAAGAGGAGUGCUUAGCUUCGGCGAAGGUACGAAUUGAAGCCCCAGUAAACGGCGGCCGUAACUAUAACGGUCCUAAGGUAGCGAAAUUCCUUGUCGGGUAAGUUCCGACCCGCACGAAAGGCGCAACGAUCUGGGCACUGUCUCAACGAGAGACUCGGUGAAAUUAUAGUACCUGUGAAGAUGCAGGUUACCCGCGACAGGACGGAAAGACCCCGUGGAGCUUUACUGCAACCUGAUAUGGAAUGUUUGUACCGCUUGUAC
Molecule: ribosomal RNA, 2148 nt
Filed under: Listeria monocytogenes
Lineage: Bacteria; Bacillati; Bacillota; Bacilli; Caryophanales; Listeriaceae
Description: partial 23S ribosomal RNA
Rfam family: Bacterial large subunit ribosomal RNA
Source: RNAcentral